RNAcentral lists this ribosomal RNA (354 nucleotides) under Staphylococcus aureus. RNAcentral describes it as "bacterial LSU rRNA". It matches the Rfam family "Bacterial large subunit ribosomal RNA", at positions 2571 to 2925 of the family's 2925-position model. Lineage: Bacteria; Bacillati; Bacillota; Bacilli; Caryophanales; Staphylococcaceae. The record is from RNAcentral.
GUUGGGCUGUUCGCCCAUUAAAGCGGUACGCGAGCUGGGUUCAGAACGUCGUGAGACAGUUCGGUCCCUAUCCGUCGUGGGCGUAGGAAAUUUGAGAGGAGCUGUCCUUAGUACGAGAGGACCGGGAUGGACAUACCUCUGGUGUACCAGUUGUCGUGCCAACGGCAUAGCUGGGUAGCUAUGUGUGGACGGGAUAAGUGCUGAAAGCAUCUAAGCAUGAAGCCCCCCUCAAGAUGAGAUUUCCCAACUUCGGUUAUAAGAUCCCUCAAAGAUGAUGAGGUUAAUAGGUUCGAGGUGGAAGCAUGGUGACAUGUGGAGCUGACGAAUACUAAUCGAUCGAAGACUUAAUCAAAA